RNAcentral lists this ribosomal RNA (435 nucleotides) under Escherichia coli. RNAcentral's name for it is "bacterial SSU rRNA". It matches the Rfam family "Bacterial small subunit ribosomal RNA", at positions 344 to 773 of the family's 1533-position model. The record is from RNAcentral. Lineage: Bacteria; Pseudomonadati; Pseudomonadota; Gammaproteobacteria; Enterobacterales; Enterobacteriaceae.
GGAGGCAGCAGUGGGGAAUAUUGCACUAUGGGCGCAAGCCUGAUGCAGCCAUGCCGCGUGUAUGAAGAAGGCCUUCGGGUUGUAAAGUACUUUCAGCGGGGAGGAAGGGAGUAAAGUUAAUACCUUUGCUCAUUGACGUUACCCGCAGAAGAAGCACCGGCUAACUCCGUGCCAGCAGCCGCGGUAAUACGGAGGGUGCAAGCGUUAAUCGGAAUUACUGGGCGUAAAGCGCACGCAGGCGGUUUGUUAAGUCAGAUGUGAAAUCCCCGGGCUCAACCUGGGAACUGCAUCUGAUACUGGCAAGCUUGAGUCUCGUAGAGGGGGGUAGAAUUCCAGGUGUAGCGGUGAAAUGCGUAGAGAUCUGGAGGAAUACCGGUGGCGAAGGCGGCCCCCUGGACGAAGACUGACGCUCAGGUGCGAAAGCUGGGAGCAAAC